Molecule: long non-coding RNA, 490 nt
Organism: Brassica napus (rape)
Lineage: Eukaryota; Viridiplantae; Streptophyta; Magnoliopsida; Brassicales; Brassicaceae
Exons: 2
Source: RefSeq, a predicted model, not a curated record
CGUAGGAUUUCCUAAGCUGUUGUUUUUGAAUGGGCUUCAAUGUGGUUUUAAUGGGCUUCGUCACGUGUACAAUUAGAAAGAAAAAAACCCCCGAAACGGAUAAACACGAUGCUCUCUCAAUGAGGCACUUUUGCCUCUCCUAAAGCUGUUGUGGGACCCACACUAUUUUUUUCUUAAAACGAGUGGGCUAUGGGCUAUCCAUCAUAUUAAUGAUUUCUGGUUUAUGUCUUCAUGGGCUGACUUUUUUUCUGGUUUAUGUAGGUCAGCCGUCGUCUUCUUCGCGAUCCUUCGUUUGAGGACGCUUCCUCUUCCGGCAUAUCAUUUUUGUUACUAUCUUUAUGACUCUACGCACGAUCUUUAUUAACCUCUUCCAAAUCCUCUACAAUCUCUUAUUUUGGCUUCUCACCUUCAUUUGUAUCUCCGAAGAAAUCCAUAGCUUUCGGUUUUGAUAUAGUGAGGAUCAGGGACAAGUCGGAAAUGAAGGUGGAUA